CAUGGAUGCGGUGCUCCUUGUCAUUGCACAGACCUUCAUGGACGCCUGCACCCUGGCCGACCACAAGCUGGGCCGGGACUCCCCGAUCAACAAACUUCUGUAUGCACGGGACAUUCCCCGGUACAAGCGGAUGGUGGAAAGGUACUAUGCAGACAUCAGACAGACUGUCCCAGCCAGCGACCAAGAGAUGAACUCUGUCCUGGCUGAACUGUCCUGGGUAAGGCCUCCCUCUGCUUCUUGGGUUGGGCAUAGGCCUCCUGCCACAACGGUCCUGCCCCCUUCACACUGCCCCUUUGCAGGGAAGCCCUUGGGAACCU
RNAcentral lists this small RNA (317 nucleotides) under Pan troglodytes (chimpanzee). Its description in RNAcentral is "retained intron". The record is from RNAcentral. Lineage: Eukaryota; Metazoa; Chordata; Mammalia; Primates; Hominidae.